RNAcentral lists this ribosomal RNA (1342 nucleotides) under uncultured bacterium. Its description in RNAcentral is "16S ribosomal RNA". It matches the Rfam family "Bacterial small subunit ribosomal RNA", at positions 28 to 1378 of the family's 1533-position model. The record is from RNAcentral.
GACGAACGCUGGCGGCGUGCUUAACACAUGCAAGUCGAACGGAAAGGCCCUGCUUUUGUGGGGUGCUCGAGUGGCGAACGGGUGAGUAACACGUGAGUAACCUGCCCUUGACUUUGGGAUAACUUCAGGAAACUGGGGCUAAUACCGGAUAGGAGCUCCUGCUGCAUGGUGGGGGUUGGAAAGUUUCGGCGGUUGGGGAUGGACUCGCGGCUUAUCAGCUUGUUGGUGGGGUAGUGGCUUACCAAGGCUUUGACGGGUAGCCGGCCUGAGAGGGUGACCGGCCACAUUGGGACUGAGAUACGGCCCAGACUCCUACGGGAGGCAGCAGUGGGGAAUAUUGCACAAUGGGCGGAAGCCUGAUGCAGCAACGCCGCGUGCGGGAUGACGGCCUUCGGGUUGUAAACCGCUUUCGCCUGUGACGAAGCGUGAGUGACGGUAAUGGGUAAAGAAGCACCGGCUAACUACGUGCCAGCAGCCGCGGUGAUACGUAGGGUGCGAGCGUUGUCCGGAUUUAUUGGGCGUAAGGGCUCGUAGGUGGUUGAUCGCGUCGGAAGUGUAAUCUUGGGGCUUAACCCUGAGCGUGCUUUCGAUACGGGUUGACUUGAGGAAGGUAGGGGAGAAUGGAAUUCCUGGUGGAGCGGUGGAAUGCGCAGAUAUCAGGAGGAACACCAGUGGCGAAGGCGGUUCUCUGGGCCUUUCCUGACGCUGAGGAGCGAAAGCGUGGGGAGCGAACAGGCUUAGAUACCCUGGUAGUCCACGCUGUAAACGGUGGGUACUAGGUGUGGGGUCCAUUCCACGGGUUCCGUGCCGUAGCUAACGCUUUAAGUACCCCGCCUGGGGAGUACGGCCGCAAGGCUAAAACUCAAAGGAAUUGACGGGGCCCCGCACAAGCGGCGGAGCAUGCGGAUUAAUUCGAUGCAACGCGUAGAACCUUACCUGGGUUUGACAUGGAUCGGGAGUGCUCAGAGAUGGGUGUGCCUCUUUUGGGGUCGGUUCACGGGUGGUGCAUGCCUGUCGUCAGCUCGUGUCGUGAGAUGUUGGGUUAAGUCCCGCAACGAGCGCAACCCUUGUUCACUGUUGCCAGCACGUUAUGGUGGGGACUCAGUGGAGACCGCCGGGGUCAACUCGGAGGAAGGUGGUGAUGACGUCAAGUCAUCAUGCCCCUUAUGUCCAGGGCUUCACGCAUGCUACAAUGGCUGGUACAGAGAGUGGCGAGCCUGUGAGGGUGAGCGAAUCUCGGAAAGCCGGUCUCAGUUCGGAUUGGGGUCUGCAACUCGACCUCAUGAAGUCGGAGUCGCUAGUAAUCGCAAAGCAGCAACGCUGCGGUGAAUACGUUCCCGGG